This 120-nucleotide ribosomal RNA is filed under the name Scophthalmus maximus (turbot). The record is from RNAcentral. Lineage: Eukaryota; Metazoa; Chordata; Actinopteri; Pleuronectiformes; Scophthalmidae.
GCUUACGGCCACACCGCUGGUUCCACGCCCGAUCUCGUUUGAUCUCGGAAGCUAAGAUAGGUUGGGCCUGGUUAGUACUUGGAUGGGAGACCGCCUAGGAAUACCAAGGUGCUGUAAGCC